GAAAUCGGGAGGAACACCAGUGGCGUAGGUGGACACGUGGGCGGAUAUUGACGUUGAGGUGGGAAAGCGUGUGGAGCAAACAGAAUUAGAUACCUUGGUAGUACACGCAGUAAACGAUGAGUGCUGGGCGUUGGGGGUAUUGACCCCUCCAGUGCCGAAGCUAACGCGUUAAGCACUCCGCGGGGGGAGUACGGCCGCAAGGCUAAAACUCAAAGGAAUUGACGGGGGCCCGCACAAGCGGUGGAGCUUGUGGUUUAAUUCGACGCAACGCGAAGAACCUUACCUGGGUUAAAUCCGCCGGGACCUGGCAGAGAAGUCGGGGUGCCCUUCGGGGAGCCGGUGAGAAGGUGCUGCAUGGCUGUCGUCAGCUCGUGUCGUGAGAUGUUGGGUUAAGUCCCGCAACGAGCGCAACCCUUGUUGUUAGUUGCUAGCAGUUCGGAUGAUCACUCUAACGAGACUGCCGACGUGAUGUCGGAGGAAGGUGGGGAUGACGUCAAGUCCUCAUGGCCUUUAUGCCCAGGGCUACACACGUGCUACAAUGGCCGGUACAAAGGGUUGCAAGCUCGUGAGAGUGAGCUAAUCUCAAAAAACCGGUCUCAGUUCGGAUUGAAGUUUGCAACUCGACUUCAUGAAGUUGGAAUCGCUAGUAAUCGCGGAUCAGCACGCCGCGGUGAAUUCGUUCCCGGGCGUUGUACACACCGCCCGUCACACCAUGGGAGUUAGUUGCUCCAGAAAUGGGUGGGCUAACCCGAAAGGGAAGCAGGUCCUUAAGGAGUGACUAGUAACUGGGGUGAAGUCGUAACAAGGUAACC
RNAcentral lists this ribosomal RNA (812 nucleotides) under uncultured soil bacterium. Its description in RNAcentral is "bacterial SSU rRNA". It matches the Rfam family "Bacterial small subunit ribosomal RNA", at positions 693 to 1501 of the family's 1533-position model. The record is from RNAcentral.